UACGGAGGGUGCAAGCGUUAUCCGGAUUUAUUGGGUUUAAAGGGUCCGUAGGCGGAUCUGUAAGUCAGUGGUGAAAUCUCACAGCUUAACUGUGAAACUGCCAUUGAUACUGCAGGUCUUGGGUGUUAUUGAAGUAGCUGGAAUAAGUAGUGUAGCGGUGAAAUGCAUAGAUAUUACUUAGAACACCAAUUGCGAAGGCAGGUUACUAAGCAACAACUGACGCUGAUGGACGAAAGCGUGGGGAGCGAACAGG
This 253-nucleotide ribosomal RNA is filed under the name uncultured bacterium. RNAcentral describes it as "partial 16S ribosomal RNA". It matches the Rfam family "Bacterial small subunit ribosomal RNA", at positions 524 to 776 of the family's 1533-position model. The record is from RNAcentral.